UCCGUUAUAGUCCAGUGGUUAGGAUAUCUGGCUUUCAUUUGCAAUGGCCCCAGAAGACCCGGGUUCGAACCCCGGUAACGGAA
Non-coding RNA from Tothia fuscella, 83 nucleotides. The record is from the annotation of a GenBank genome assembly. Lineage: Eukaryota; Fungi; Ascomycota; Dothideomycetes; Venturiales; Cylindrosympodiaceae.